RNAcentral lists this transfer RNA (74 nucleotides) under Thermoproteota archaeon. RNAcentral describes it as "tRNA-Pro". It matches the Rfam family "tRNA". Rfam says of the family: Transfer RNA (tRNA) molecules are approximately 80 nucleotides in length. Their secondary structure includes four short double-helical elements and three loops (D, anti-codon, and T loops). Lineage: Archaea; Thermoproteati; Thermoproteota. The record is from RNAcentral. RNAcentral also lists the same sequence under 2 other names.
GGGGCCGUAGUCCAGUUUGGAAGGACGUCGCCCUCGGGCGGCGAAGGCCGUGGGUUCAAAUCCCACCGGCCCCA